UCUCUGGGAACUUGAGCUACACCCUCCAAUCCUGAAUUCUUUUUGUUUGUUUUGUUUUGGUUUGGUUGAGACAGGGUUUCUCUGUAGCUUUGGAGGCUGUCCUGGAACUAGCUCCUGUAGACCAGGCUGGUCUCUAACUCACAGAGAUCCACCUGUCUCUGCCUCCUGAGUGCUGGGACUAAAGAUGUGAGCCACCAACGCCCGGCCUCAGUCCUGAAUUCUUAAUGUGCUGUGAAAACCUCAACUGAGCAUUUUCUUCAUCAAAGCGCCCUUCGCCUGGUUCGAUGUCAUCACAAGCCCGUGCCCAUGCCCUGCAUGCUCGAGUGAGCCCUCAUCCCAUGCCUGACCUUUGGAAUCAACUUCUUCGUGGGAAAGCAACCUGUGCCUCCACUGAGCACAAGUGCACAGGGCUAUUUUGAGCCACCACUCUCUGGAAUCAUGACAGCCUGACUUGUGGAAUUGGAAGUAGGUCACCAACUAAUCUCUUCCAAGUGACAAAAAAAAAAAAUGCAUCUGCAGAACCCAUGAAGACAAGAGGGCAGCCCGUCUUUACCUUUUGCUAACCCACCCACACUCCCCUGGAAACUGGAGACACAGCAGAGGUUGGCUACGUACAUCAGCUACGAUCUGGCUGCGUGUGUGUGUGUGUGUGUGUGUGUGUGUGUGUGUGUGUGUGUGUGUGUAUAUAUACACACACACACACAAAGUGAUAAAAUGACCAAGUCCUCUAUUUCUUUUACUGGCAUUGUCAUAGCUGUUGAUGGUUGUCAUAGAAACCAGCAGAGGUGUCCUGGCUCCUCUCUCCCAGCCAGAAGAAGACCUGAAGUUAUUCUGAUCUGAGACUUUUAAAAAUAGAAACUGCCUUAAGCUAGGUAAACAGUCUCAGAGUUCUGUCUGCUUUGAAAAUAUUUGGCCACAUGGUUCUUUAUUUAUAAUUUGUCAUAAAUCUUAAUUAAAAAAUAGAAAAAGUGUUUGGGGGCUGGGGAAAUGGCUCAGUGAGUACAGUAUUUGCUUUGCAAGCACAAGGACCUGAAUUUGUUCCUCAGAACCUAUGUUUAAAAUCCUGUAUUGUCACAUGCUUUUGUAAUCCCAGCACUGGGGAGG
RNAcentral lists this long non-coding RNA (1104 nucleotides) under Cricetulus griseus (Chinese hamster). RNAcentral's name for it is "lncRNA (ENSCGRG00015035742.1)". The record is from RNAcentral. Lineage: Eukaryota; Metazoa; Chordata; Mammalia; Rodentia; Cricetidae.